Long non-coding RNA from Serinus canaria (Common canary), 631 nucleotides. RefSeq lists it as uncharacterized. Lineage: Eukaryota; Metazoa; Chordata; Aves; Passeriformes; Fringillidae. The record is from RefSeq and is a predicted model, not a curated record. The transcript is spliced from 3 exons.
GAAGCCAGGAGAGAGAGGCAGGAAUUCCAUCCUGGAUAAACCCAGCUUGGGAUAAACCAGGAACUGGGAUAAACCCAGCUUGGGAUAAACCAGGAACUGGGAUAAACCCAGAUUUGGGUAAAACAGGAAUUGGGAUAAACUCAGCCUGGGAUGAACCAGCAAUCCCAACCCUGCCCGAAUCCAGCCUUGGAUAAAACAGGAAUCACGAGAAUUGGGAUAAACCCAGGUUUGGAUAAACCAGGAAUUGGGAUAAACCCAGGUUUGGCUAAACCAGCAAUCCCAACCCUGCCCAAAUCCAGGUUUGGAUAAAACAGGAAUUGGGAUAAACCCAGGUUUGGAUAAAACAGGAACUGGGAUAAACCCAGCUUGGGAUAAACCCAGCUUGGGAUAAAACAGAAAUUGGAAUAAACCCAGCUUGGGAUAAAACAGGAACUGGGAUAAACCCAGGUUUGUAUAAAACAGAAAUUGGAAUAAACCCAGAUUUGGUUAAAACAGAAAUUGGGAUAAACCCAGCUUGGGAUAAAACAGAAAUCCCAGGAAUUGGGAUAAACCCAGCUUGGGAUGAACCAUCAAUCCCAACCCUGCCCAACCCCAGGCCGUGCCCCACCUGCCGUGCCCCACCGCACCCCUC